AUGAAGUUUCCUGUUCACCUUUUGGUGUUGCUGUUGUGGAUUCCUGCUUCCAGAGGUGAUGUUGUUGUGGUGACACAAACUCCAAGCUCCCUGCCUGUCAGUCUUGGUGAUGAAGCCUCUAUCUCUUGCAAGUCAAGUAAGAGCCUUGUACACAAUAAUGGAAUCACCUAUUUAGCAUGGUUCCUGCAGAAGCCAGGCCAGCUACCUCAGAGCCUCAUCCAUACAGUAUCCAACCGAUUUUCUGGGGUCCCAGACAGGUUCAGUGGCAGUGGGUCAGUGUCAGACUUCACACUCAAGAUCAGCAGAGUAGAGCCUGAGGAUUUGGGAGUUUAUUACUGCUUACAGUAUGUACAUUAUCCUCUCACAGUGAUUUAUACCGUAACAAAAAUGUCGUUGCUUAGAGUGGCCCAGCUGCUAAUAUGUUACUCAACAAUGUCAAAGUGA
Molecule: non-coding RNA, 444 nt
Organism: Rattus rattus (black rat)
Lineage: Eukaryota; Metazoa; Chordata; Mammalia; Rodentia; Muridae
Source: the annotation of a RefSeq genome assembly